UAGAUCAGUGGCUUAUUUUCAAGUCCCCAGUAGCCACUAUUUCACCCUCUGCUUUGUAAGCUAAACUUGGACUGCAGCACAUGUUCUAUUUUCCAGGUGGAUAACAGUGGAUUCUGUUAUUUGGAAGUUCUCUCUAAAACUUGUGUAGAAACUUAAAUGACAUCGUAACUGUUGACGUUCAAGGAGACCCUCAGAGGCCACAGGGUCAAGAGGAUACGCUUGUGACAGGACUGCUGUGAAGAGGGAGACCAACACACUAAGAAUGGCUCUGAAAUGUAAAGCUGAAAGAAAUAUGGGAACGGGGCAAUCAACGUACAGACAUGGAAAACAAGAACUUUUCGUACUUUGAAGGAUCUGCCUCCAUUUCCCCAACUCUGGCCUGGAAAGGGACCUUGACAGGGCAGGCGAUGAUCCAUCAGGCUCUGCAGCAGACUGGAAUGGCAUUACCCCAGUGUCUGAGUCUAUCCUAUACGUCUAAAUCCUGGCAGUGCUGCCUCUGCUUCCCGUGCUCAACGGCUUCCUAACAAAUGUUCACGAUCCUCAUUACUAUGAAAUACAGCUUUUAUCCAUAAUUGAAUAUCACUCAUUUGCCGAAUAUUGUCUCCAUGCAAAGAACGUCCAUGCUCUCCAAGUCCCGGGAACUGCAGAAGAAAAGCAUCCAGUCACAUCCCCAACUCACAGAGAUUCCAUGCACCUGACCUCAAGUCCAGACACCCGGUGGUUCCAAGAAGACACAAAAGAUGAAGUAGUUUCAGCUUACUUACUCGUUCUGUCACCAACAAAACUCCCUUCCCCCUUCCCUAUCCUUAGCCACCAAACACCCAGCUUGAAGCACGUGAUCUGCACUUUCUACCUCUGCUCAUGGUGUUGGUGAGGCCUGGACCCUGACCACAGCAGAGCUGGGUCUCGAUGUGCCACCUUUAAGGUUAAAUAAAGUCUGCUCUUCCCCCCCCCCUUCUCUCUCUGUCUCUACCACCCUCUCAACUCCCUCCCCAUGCCCUGAAUAAACUAUUCUAUACUAUUAAAAAAAAA
Molecule: long non-coding RNA, 1032 nt
Organism: Rattus norvegicus (Norway rat)
Lineage: Eukaryota; Metazoa; Chordata; Mammalia; Rodentia; Muridae
Source: RefSeq, a predicted model, not a curated record